GCCAUGGAAAGAAUGAAAACACGCGGGCUGUGUUACACAGCCCUCCUUGCUUGAAGCACAUUAAGCUGCACAAGCAACAGUCUGGAGCUGACAGAAGCCUUACUAAGCACAUGGCUGCUGAAACAACAGAACGUGCCACCAGCCCUACUCUUUUCACUCUGUGACGUUCUCAGUUUCUAGGCUAGGAUGGAGGAGGACUGUGCCCAGGACAGAUGCCUGCAGGAGCAGGGAGAGUUACAGAGAACCUUGAGGGCAUUUCCUGCCACUCAGCAUUCCAGUAACUGUCACAGGGAUGGAUAACUGUGGAACAGGAUCACAAGAUGUAGCAGCAAGGAGCGAGAUGUGAACUCAUCACCUGUACCAACCAGAACUAGAUCUAAAAACA
Tympanuchus pallidicinctus (lesser prairie-chicken) is the source of this 385-nucleotide long non-coding RNA. RefSeq lists it as uncharacterized. Lineage: Eukaryota; Metazoa; Chordata; Aves; Galliformes; Phasianidae. The record is from RefSeq and is a predicted model, not a curated record. The transcript is spliced from 3 exons.